This 76-nucleotide transfer RNA is filed under the name Uranoscopus tosae. RNAcentral's name for it is "tRNA-Thr". It matches the Rfam family "tRNA". From Rfam's summary of the family: Transfer RNA (tRNA) molecules are approximately 80 nucleotides in length. Their secondary structure includes four short double-helical elements and three loops (D, anti-codon, and T loops). Further hydrogen bonds mediate the characteristic L-shaped molecular structure. tRNAs have two regions of fundamental functional importance: the anti-codon, which is responsible for specific mRNA codon recognition, and the 3' end, to which the tRNAs corresponding amino acid is attached (by aminoacyl-tRNA synthetases). tRNAs cope with the degeneracy of the genetic code in two manners: having more than one tRNA (with a specific anti-codon) for a particular amino acid; and 'wobble' base-pairing, i.e. permitting non-standard base-pairing at the 3rd anti-codon position. Lineage: Eukaryota; Metazoa; Chordata; Actinopteri; Uranoscopiformes; Uranoscopidae. The record is from RNAcentral.
GCACUAGAAGCUCAGACGUUAGGAGCGCCAGCCUUGUAAGCUGGAGGUCGGGGGCUAGCCUCCCCCCUACUGCACU